Molecule: unclassified non-coding RNA, 389 nt
Filed under: Oryza sativa (Asian cultivated rice)
Lineage: Eukaryota; Viridiplantae; Streptophyta; Magnoliopsida; Poales; Poaceae
Description: partial microRNA MIR452d-as precursor
Source: RNAcentral
GCCAAACAGUUUCAGCUCCACCAAAACUGGGAGUGGAGCUGGGUGGAGCUCUCUCACAAAAUGAACUAGAGUUAUGGAGCUGGGUUUAGGCAGCUCCACAACUCCACUCCAGGAGUUGUGAGAGAGCUCCACCCAGCUCCACUCCCAUUUUAGGUGGAACUGAAACUGUUUGGCUGAACUCCACCUCUAGAGGUGGAGUUGGAGCUGGAGUUGUGCCAAACAGGCCAGGCUCCCAUUUGGUAGAGAUUCAACUUCUAAUUUUAACUCCAAGAGUUGAGUAUGGAGUGGAGUUGUGGAGCUGCUUGAAUCCAGCUCCACUUCUCUAGUUCAUUUUGUGAGAGAGCUCCACCCAGCUCCACUCCCACUUUAGGUGGAGCUGAAAGCUUGAA